UAACCCUACGGGAGGCAGCAGUGAGGAAUAUUGGUCAAUGGCCGGAAGGCUGAACCAGCCAAGCCGCGUGAGGGAGGAAGGCGCAGAGCGUCGCAGACCUCUUUUGCCGGGGGACAAAAGGCCGGACUUGUCCGGUCCUGAGGGUACCCGGAGAAAAAGCAUCGGCUAACUCCGUGCCGGCAGCCGCGGUAAUACGGAGGAUGCGAGCGUUAUCCGGAUUCAUUGGGUUUAAAGGGUGCGCAGGCGGGCCUUUAAGCCGGCGGAG
RNAcentral lists this ribosomal RNA (265 nucleotides) under uncultured bacterium. Its description in RNAcentral is "partial 16S ribosomal RNA". It matches the Rfam family "Bacterial small subunit ribosomal RNA", at positions 333 to 596 of the family's 1533-position model. The record is from RNAcentral.